GGUCCAGAAUGAUUUGAUUACCAGACGUGUCUGUUUGAAUCACAUGUCACACCUCACAGGCUAGCUACAUGCUAAAUAAGCAGAUGGUCUUUGAAAAAUGGCAGGGGUUUGUGUGUAUUUAUGAUGUGUUUCCAUGGUGAAGACUAACUAGUGUGUGUUUGUGUGUAGUUCUGAUGUGUUUACAUGGUGAAGACUAGAGUGUGUUUGUUUGUUCUGAUGUGUUUACGUGAUGAAGUCUAGUGUGUGUUUGUGUGUAGUUAUGAUGUUUACGUGGUUAAGACUAGUGUGUGUGUGUGUGUGUGUAGUUAUGAUGUUUACGUGAUGAAGUCUAGUGUGUGUUUGUGUGUAGUUCUGAUGUGUUUCCAUGGUGAAGACUAGUGUGUGUCAUUGUUGGGUUA
This is a long non-coding RNA of Clupea harengus (Atlantic herring), 398 nucleotides long. Lineage: Eukaryota; Metazoa; Chordata; Actinopteri; Clupeiformes; Clupeidae. The record is from Ensembl.